RNAcentral lists this long non-coding RNA (1529 nucleotides) under Triticum aestivum (bread wheat). Its description in RNAcentral is "long non-coding RNA (TAES_LNC004077)". Lineage: Eukaryota; Viridiplantae; Streptophyta; Magnoliopsida; Poales; Poaceae. The record is from RNAcentral.
UUUUUUCGUUUUUUUCUUAAUCUCGGGUCACUAUGGCUUAAUCUCAAGCCAAUAUGCUUAAUCUCAAGUCAAAUCGCACUUCAUGGUCAAACUUCCCAGAAGGUCACCCAUCCUGAUACUCGGGUAAGACAUUAUGAAUCUUGCGUUGUUGGAGAUGUGCGCUACAACACCCUUGCACGAGACGAAGGCAGGAAGACACAAAACAGUGCCAUCAUGAGCACGGAUACGUAUGACAAAGAGACAACUGAAAUGUAUGCUAACAUAACAGACAUUGUUCAGUUGCAGUAUAUCUCCAGUUUCGAGGAUCAUCGGUGUGUGGUUCUGUUGUGCUGUCGUUGGUAUAACCUGUUUUCCAGGAUCGCAAAACCCAGAGCUAAUGAUUAUUUCAAAUCCAUCAAUGUCAAGGCGGCGUACCAGACCAACGAGCCUUUUAUUUUGGAAAAUCAAGCAACACAGAUAUUUUUCUUGGAAGACACAUUUGCACGUAGCGAUGACUGGAGAGUAUUGCAAAGGUUUGAGCAGAGGAAUUCGUUUAAUGAAGCUGCACAACAAGAUGAUGCUUACACUGCUCCUGAUGUACAACAUAACACAAAUGUUCCUAAUAUCUUUGAGAACCAUCACGUCAAUGACGCUAGCGAAAAGAUUGCCUGUCGUGCUGUUGACAUACAAGAGUUGAUCAAGAAGAAGCCAACGUUCGAUGACGUUGAGGACGAAGAAGAAGAUGACACCUUGGGGAAUUACGAUUCAGACUGAUACACAUGGCGAAGAUGUUGACGCUGCUGCUGCGGAUGAUGAUUACAUUGCUUUUGUCGUAUUUUCCCGUCAGAAGACAUUUUUAUCUACUAUGUGAAAUUGUGUUUGCUAUGACAACUGAAACCUGAUCAACAUGUUGUUUAGUAUUUUGCUGUGAGAACAUCACUUGUUAUGCACUACUAGGAAAAGGCCUGCUAGUGGCGCACCUGUUUUGGUUACUAAUGGCACACUACAGGUGCGCCACUAGCAUCACACCAUUAGAAUUUUUUACUAAUGGCGCACCACAGGUGCGCCAUUAGUAUCUGGUAUACUAAUGGCGCACCAGGGAGUGCGCCAUUAGUAUAUCCCGCGGUGCACCAUUACUAUCUGACUUAGUAAUGGCUCACCACAUAGAAGUGCGCCAUUACUAACAAUUUUUUUCAAAUUUUUUUCAGAAUUUUUUUUUUCAAAUUUUUUUUAAAAAAAAAUUCACAAUUUUUUCGUUUUUUUCUUAAUCUCGGGUCACUAUGGCUUAAUCUCAAGCCAAUAUGCUUAAUCUCAAGUCAAAUCGCACUUCAUGGUCAAACUUCCCAGAAGGUCACCCAUCCUGAUACUCGGGUAAGACAUUAUGAAUCUUGCGUUGUUGGAGAUGUGCGCUACAACACCCUUGCACGAGACGAAGGCAGGAAGACACAAAACAGUGCCAUCAUGAGCACGGAUACGUAUGACAAAGAGACAACUGAAAUGUAUGCUAACAUAACAGACAUUGUUCAGUUGCAGUAUAUCUCCAGUUUCGA